Molecule: non-coding RNA, 21 nt
Filed under: Caenorhabditis elegans
Lineage: Eukaryota; Metazoa; Nematoda; Chromadorea; Rhabditida; Rhabditidae
Source: RNAcentral
UAAUUUUUUGGGCUUUUUUUG